CCCUGUUAGAACUCCAGGCUGUGAAGCAGCCUCUGCAGGAGAAUUCCUGCUGGAAUCCACAUCAGGACUAAAGGAAAAAUGCAACCAUUGGUCCGAACAAUGGAAGAUUCCCUUUUCUGUCUUCUAGAGAGAUUCCAGACAGCUCAAAUUCCAGAAGAAGCAGGGAAAUCAGAGGAAAGAAGGAAAGAACUUUAUCCUGCUGAACAUGGAUUCACAACUACUCGAAUAAAAGAAAGGACACCAGAGCUGACAACAGCGGACGCUAAAGCUGCAACAGUGUGAUUUAUCAUGGGGCCUAGUUAUCAGAAGAGACAAAGCCAGCAUCGAUGGAGAGCGGUCACAGAAGACCCACCGUUGCCUCAGAGGCAGCAGGAGGCUGACGUCACAUAAACGGCCACAGAAAAGCAGUUAAAUGAUUUUCUGUGUGUUCUUCAGGGAGGCUGUAUCUAAUCUGAUGCAGUUGCUCCACGGGAGCCCUGCUAAUGACAUCUCCACCAAAUAUCAGCUCAAUAAAUUGCUUCCCUUCAUUAAUCUGAGUGUCAGUGUCUGCAUUAAUGGUGUUUACCCAGCAGAAGGGCUAAGGGAGAUAAUAUAGACCGAUUUUUAGUGACAUAUGAGGGCAGAGUGGACAGAGUGGCUACAGUGGUCCUCUUGGUUCUGGUGGAUCAAAGACUCUUUCUUUACUUCCUUUCACUCUACAAUUGUUCUCUGAGUGGCCACUACCUGCCUGGUUUUGUGUUACAGCUCAUAUUCCAACCAACACAAGGCUUCUAGGCAACCGAAGUGGGACACAAGUUAUCAUCCACAUGCAUAACUGAUCGUGAUAAAAUGUCUGAAGGAAAUGAUGCAGCUCUCUGGAAGAAUAUAAUGAGGGAUCAAAUUUGGGUGAAGAUGAACCAUUUUUUUUUCCCAGAAAAUUGAGACUUUUGGCGUCAAAGUCUUCACCUAAAAUAGGAUGACUUAGAAGUCACAGGAGGCAAGGCAGAGAGGAGGGGGAGCAGGAUGCAGAGCGCACGGGGUGGGGGUGCAUUUUAAAGCAAGCAAACCUACAGGGCCUUUGCACCAGCUGCUGGGCCACUUUCUCUACUGCUCCUUGCUUCAACUUUGCAAGUUGAGUGGAGCUCAAACUCACAGUGGAGUGCAAGUGAAGCACACAGUGGUGAGUAUUAAGAGAGAGCCAACAGUUUAACUCCAGUGUGGCAGAUGUGCCCAGAAGGGAAGGGGAACAGUGUUGCAAGGAAAGCCUACCCAAAGGAUGCAGAGCAGUGGGUACCAGAGCUUGAGGGCCAGGAAAGAGCAUCCUGGAGCCCCAGUGCUUGCUGCUUAAGAAGAGUGGUAUAAUUUGUUUACUUGUCACCGUAACUCCCUGUAUAGCCCAGACUGGCCCCAAGCUUGCUAGAUUCCUGACUCCAUUCCACCGCACCUGGUCCGUUAAUCUGUUCUUGAUGCUUCAGGUAUUAAAGCCAUUUCAUAUGGAGACUUGCGUCACUGACUUUUUACAUGUAAACAUGCUCUGGACGGCAAAAGCCACGUCGACAGUGCAAUCCAUUUUGUUCAGUGCACUAUGUAGAAGCCUAGCAACACCCCUCACACAAGACCUACAGUG
This 1606-nucleotide long non-coding RNA is filed under the name Rattus norvegicus (Norway rat). RNAcentral's name for it is "long non-coding RNA NONRATT032966". Lineage: Eukaryota; Metazoa; Chordata; Mammalia; Rodentia; Muridae. The record is from RNAcentral.